Molecule: ribosomal RNA, 366 nt
Filed under: uncultured organism
Description: bacterial SSU rRNA
Rfam family: Bacterial small subunit ribosomal RNA
Source: RNAcentral
CGGAGGAUCCAAGCGUUAUCCGGAAUCAUUGGGUUUAAAGGGUCCGUAGGCGGUUUGGUAAGUCAGUGGUGAAAGCCCAUCGCUCAACGGUGGAACGGCCAUUGAUACUGCCAGACUUGAAUUACUGGGAAGUAACUAGAAUAUGUAGUGUAGCGGUGAAAUGCUUAGAGAUUACAUGGAAUACCAAUUGCGAAGGCAGGUUACUACCGGUGGAUUGACGCUGAUGGACGAAAGCGUGGGUAGCGAACAGGAUUAGAUACCCUGGUAGUCCACGCCGUAAACGAUGGAUACUAGCCGUUGGUGGCAACAUCAGUGGCUAAGCGAAAGUGAUAAGUAUCCCACCUGGGGAGUACGUUCGCAAGAAUG